GCUCCUGUGGCUUAAUGGUUGGAGCGUCCGCCUCGGAUGCCGGAGGUCAUGGGUUCUAUCCCCGGUUGAGUCA
Non-coding RNA from Potamilus streckersoni, 73 nucleotides. Lineage: Eukaryota; Metazoa; Mollusca; Bivalvia; Unionida; Unionidae. The record is from the annotation of a GenBank genome assembly.